Molecule: ribosomal RNA, 775 nt
Filed under: uncultured Neocallimastigales
Lineage: Eukaryota; Fungi; Neocallimastigomycota; Neocallimastigomycetes; Neocallimastigales
Description: partial large subunit ribosomal RNA
Rfam family: Eukaryotic large subunit ribosomal RNA
Source: RNAcentral
UACGACUACAUAUCAGGCAUAUCAAUAAGCGGAGGAAAAGAAACUAACAAGGAUUCCCUUAGUAACGGCGAGUGAAGCGGGAAGAGCUCAAGUUUGAAAUCUUCAAGGUUUACCUUGACGAAUUGUAGUUUAAAGAAGUGUUUUCUGUUGAAGUUUUGGUAAAAGUUCUUUGGAAUAGGACAUCAUAGAGGGUGAGAAUCCCGUAUUUGACCAUUAUUUUCAGCUGUGUGAUACACUUUCAAAGAGUCGGAUUGUUUGGGAAUGCAGUCCAAAAUGGGUGGUAAAUUUCAUCUAAAGCUAAAUAUUGGCGAGAGACCGAUAGCGAACAAGUACCGUGAGGGAAAGAUGAAAAGAACUUUGAAAAGAGAGUUAAACAGUACGUGAAAUUGUCAAAAGGGAAGCGUUUGACACCAGUGUUGUUUUCUCGAAAAUCAAUUAAAAAGAGUUGGAUUUUGUGUUGUAUUGACCUUAACAGCUUGCUUCACUCUUUUCCAGCUUUUUUUAAUGCACUUUUCGUUUAACAAGUCAACAUCAGUUUCUUUUGUUGUAAAAGGGUCAUUGGAAAGGUGGCUUUCUCUUCGGAGAAAGUGUUUAUAGCCUUUGAUCUCUGCAAUCGGAGAGACUGAGGUCUGCAGCGUAGAUCCUUCGGGGUUAGAUACAUUUGUGCUAAGCUACAGCUUUUCAGUAGACAACUUGUUGACUAUGUUUAGUCUUGUGACUUACCCGCUUAUGCUAUUUUACCUACGCUUAGGAUGUUGAGCGCAUGUCUCUCUCU